GGGCGAAUGUCUUGUAAUUGGAAUGAUGGUGACCCAAACCCUCACCAGAGUAGCAAUUGGAGGGCAAGUCUGGUGCCAGCAGCCGCGGUAAUUCCAGCUCCAAUAGCGUAUAUUAAACUUGUUGCAGUUAAAAAGCUCGUAGUUGUAUUUUUGCGUUGACGGUUUGACCAUUUGGUUGGUUAUUUCGUUUUCGCUUUUGGGAAUUUCCCUUUUUACUUUGAGAAAAUUAGAGUGUUUCAAGCAGACUUUUGUCUUGAAUACUUCAGCAUGGAAUAAUAGAGUAGGACUUUGGUUCUAUUUUGUUGGUUAUUGAACCUUAGUAAUGGUUAAUAGGAACGGUUGGGGGCAUUCGUAUUUAAA
RNAcentral lists this ribosomal RNA (360 nucleotides) under Babesia canis. RNAcentral describes it as "SSU rRNA". It matches the Rfam family "Eukaryotic small subunit ribosomal RNA", at positions 488 to 902 of the family's 1831-position model. Lineage: Eukaryota; Apicomplexa; Aconoidasida; Piroplasmida; Babesiidae. The record is from RNAcentral.